This 323-nucleotide ribosomal RNA is filed under the name uncultured Prevotella sp. Its description in RNAcentral is "partial 16S ribosomal RNA". The record is from RNAcentral. Lineage: Bacteria; Pseudomonadati; Bacteroidota; Bacteroidia; Bacteroidales; Prevotellaceae.
GGAGUCUGGUCCGUGUCUCAGUACCAGUGUGGGGGACCUUCCUCUCAGAACCCCUACUGAUCGAAGGACCGGUGGGCCGUUACCCCGCCGGCUUCCUAAUCAGCCGCAUCCCCAUCCCUCGGCGAUAAAUCUUUACUCCUCUUCAGAUGUCCUCGAAGGAGACCAUAGGGCAUUAAUCCGGUUUUCACCGGGCUGUCGCCCUACGUACGGGAAGGUUGGAUACGCGUUACUCACCCGUGCGCCGGUCGCCAUCAACAGAUAGCAAGCUACCUGCAUCGCUGCCCCUCGACUUGCAUGUGUUAAGCCUGUAGCUAGCGUUCAUC